AUUGAACGCUGGCGGCAUGCCUUACACAUGCAAGUCGAACGGCAGCGGACCUUCGGGUGCCGGCGAGUGGCGAACGGGUGAGUAAUGCAUCGGAACGUGCCAUUGAGUGGGGGAUAACGUAGCGAAAGUUGCGCUAAUACCGCAUAUUCUGUGAGCAGGAAAGCAGGGGACCGCAAGGCCUUGCGCUCUUUGAGCGGCCGAUGUCAGAUUAGCUAGUUGGUGAGGUAACGGCUUACCAAGGCGACGAUCUGUAGCGGGUCUGAGAGGAUGAUCCGCCACACUGGAACUGAGACACGGUCCAGACUCCUACGGGAGGCAGCAGUGGGGAAUUUUGGACAAUGGGGGCAACCCUGAUCCAGCCAUGCCGCGUGAGUGAAGAAGGCCUCGGUUG
This 391-nucleotide ribosomal RNA is filed under the name uncultured bacterium. Its description in RNAcentral is "bacterial SSU rRNA". It matches the Rfam family "Bacterial small subunit ribosomal RNA", at positions 30 to 425 of the family's 1533-position model. The record is from RNAcentral.